GCAGUGCGUGGCCGAAUGGUUACGUUGUCCGCUUUGUAAGCAGAUGAUUCUGGGUUCGAUUCCCAUCUGCUGCA
RNAcentral lists this transfer RNA (74 nucleotides) under Culex quinquefasciatus (southern house mosquito). Its description in RNAcentral is "tRNA-Thr". Lineage: Eukaryota; Metazoa; Arthropoda; Insecta; Diptera; Culicidae. The record is from RNAcentral.